This 440-nucleotide ribosomal RNA is filed under the name uncultured bacterium. RNAcentral describes it as "partial 16S ribosomal RNA". It matches the Rfam family "Bacterial small subunit ribosomal RNA", at positions 338 to 795 of the family's 1533-position model. The record is from RNAcentral.
CCUACGGGUGGCAGCAGUGGGGAAUAUUGCACAAUGGGGGAAACCCUGAUGCAGCGACGCCGCGUGAGUGAAGAAGUAUUUCGGUAUGUAAAGCUCUAUCAGCAGGGGAGCAAAUGACGGUACCUGAUUAAGAAGCCCCGGCUAACUACGUGCCAGCAGCCGCGGUAAUACGUCGGGGGCAAGCGUUAUCCGGAUUUACUGGGGGUUAAGGGAGCGUAGACGGCAGCGCAAGUCUGAAGUGAAAUGCCGGGGCUUAACCCUGGAACUGCCUUGGAAACUGUGCAGCUAGAGUGCAGGAGAGGUAAGCGGAAUUCCUAGUGUAGCGGUGAAAUGCGUAGAUAUUAGGAAGAACACCAGUGGCGAAGGCGGCUUACUGGACUGUAACUGACGUUGAGGCUCGAAAGCGUGGGGAGCAAACAGGAUUAGAUACCCUUGUAGUC